CACGAAGUCGUGUGAGCUAAUUCAUCUAUAAAGUAUGUUGCAUAAUAUUUAUUAAAGUUGAAUUAGGGGUGAAAGGCCUCUCAAAAACGAAGAUAUCUUGAAGUGAAUAAAAAAAAUUUAGUUUUAAAAUGAUUACAAAGUUACAAGAUUUUGUAAGGGUUUUAAUAUUUAUUAUUAUAUAAUGUUAAUAUAAAAGUUUACAUAUUAUGGUAAAUUAAUAUGAAAUUAAUAAAAUUUAUUAAAUUAGUUUACGGUAAUAUAACUCCUAUAUACUCAUUAUGUUAAUAUAAGUACUUAUAAGAUAUUAAUAGUGAACUCGGCAAUAAAGCUUUCAACUGUUUAUCAAAAACAUAGCCACAUGAUUUAACAUGUGGUGUGUUCUGCUCAAUGAGAUUUAAAUAGCCGCAGUACCCUGACUGUGCAAAGGUAGCGUAAUCAUUUGUCUUCUAAUUAAAGUCGUGUAUGAAUGAAUGCAUGGGGGCUUACUCUACCAUUAGUAUAUUUUGAAAUUAUUUAAAAGGUGAAAAACCCUUUAUUUAAAAAAUAGACGAGAAGACCCUUGAAAUUUGUAAAGUAGUUUUGUUGGGGCAACAUAGUAGAUAAACCUACUAAAUGUACAUGCAAUUUAUUUGUUUGAAUAAAUUACUCUAGGGAUAACAGCAUAAUUCUCCAUGAGUUUGUGACCUCGAUGUUGGAUUAGGGAACUAUAGCUUAAAA
This 717-nucleotide ribosomal RNA is filed under the name Torresitrachia sp. 'clade vic'. Its description in RNAcentral is "partial 16S ribosomal RNA". The stretch from base 296 to 534 matches the Rfam family "Archaeal large subunit ribosomal RNA", at positions 1786 to 2143 of the family's 2987-position model. Lineage: Eukaryota; Metazoa; Mollusca; Gastropoda; Stylommatophora; Camaenidae. The record is from RNAcentral.